Molecule: long non-coding RNA, 359 nt
Filed under: Malus domestica (apple)
Lineage: Eukaryota; Viridiplantae; Streptophyta; Magnoliopsida; Rosales; Rosaceae
Description: long non-coding RNA (MDOM_LNC013252)
Source: RNAcentral
CCAUUAGGCAGCUUCUCCCUUUCCUCCUCCCUCUUGAUUUUUCUAACCACCUCAAAUAAUAAAAAUAACAAUAACCAUAAGAAAUGAAUAGAAUAAUAAAUAACAACCCUUACCAACGUACUUUCAAAUUUAAAGUUCCGUAAAACCUCUGUCGUAGUUCCGAAUUAAAUUUUUGCAUGCGUCUACGCAUUCGCACUGCUAAGUACUUUUGAAAUACGGUAAGGUAUUAGUUCAUACGUGUCAUGAACUAGUGAUCAACGAAAAUCAAUACCCUCGCCUCUAGGGUAUUCUCGUGAAUUCACAUUUUUAGAUUUAUAAAAUCGUAAAAUUAGGGACGGGUUGUCACAGUUCAUCUUCCU